AUUGAGAUGAGGAAAACGAUAAAUCAGAUUGAGAAUGAUUUAUUGACAUGGAAUGUGAUUGUUCAGCCAUCUACUAGCGAUUAAU
Small nucleolar RNA from Symsagittifera roscoffensis, 85 nucleotides. RefSeq annotates it as small nucleolar RNA R12. Lineage: Eukaryota; Metazoa; Xenacoelomorpha; Acoela; Convolutidae. The transcript has a single exon. The record is from RefSeq and is a predicted model, not a curated record.